RNAcentral lists this ribosomal RNA (451 nucleotides) under Sesamia cretica. RNAcentral describes it as "partial 16S large subunit ribosomal RNA". The record is from RNAcentral. Lineage: Eukaryota; Metazoa; Arthropoda; Insecta; Lepidoptera; Noctuidae.
UCUGCCCACUGAUUUUAUAAUUAAAGGGCUGCAGUAUAUUGACUGUACAAAGGUAGCAUAAUCAUUAGUCAUUUAAUUGAUGACUUGUAUGAAGGAUUGGAUGAAAUAUAAACUGUCUCUUAAUUAUUAAAUAGAAUUUAAUUUUUUAAUUAAAAAGUUAAAAUAUAUUAAAAAGACGAGAAGACCCUAUAGAUUUUUAUAAAAAAUUUAGUUAAUAUUAUUUAUGAAAAAUUAAAAUUAAAAUUAAAUUUAUUUAUUGUAUUGGGGUGAUAGAAAAAUAUAAAAAACUUUUUAUAUAUUAAAACAUUUAUAAGUGGUUAAAUGAUCCAAUAUUAUUGAUUAUAAGAAAAAAUUACCUUAGGGAUAACAGCGUAAUUUUUUUUUUUAGUUCGUAUAAGAAAAAGAGUUUGCGACCUCGAUGUUGGAUUAAGAUAAAAUUUAAAUGCAGAAG